CCCGCUGAAUUUAAGCAUAUAAGUAGGCGGAGGAAAUGACACAAAACGGGAUUCCUCAAUUGGUUGCGAAUGAAAGGGAGAGGGCUUCAGCUUGACAUCCAAAGGCUGUCUUUGACAUGAAGAAUAGAUAGUGUGCCAAAGGGCGGGUGGUGGAAAGUGGAUACUGGCUUGGAAGAGGGGUGUGCACAUCGCAACGAGGGUAACAAACCUUUGACACUUGAUAUGUCGUCCUGCAUGGCACCUUGUCUAGACUCGUGCUCUUUGAAAGUGGAGUGCAAAGUGGGCGGUCAAUUUCACGCAAAGACAGAUACAGCGUUGGGGGCUGGCAGCGUACACGUACCGGGCGGAAGUGUGAACAGGACUUUGGAAAGAGACCCCAGCAAGCAUGCAGGGUGGGAGAGUUUGGAGAGAUUUCCCUGCAAGACCAAGCUUAGUGUGUGCGUGUCUCUUCUUGGAUGACAAUCAAAGAUGCCUGCAGUCAGU
This 483-nucleotide ribosomal RNA is filed under the name Gambierdiscus sp. XD-2016a. RNAcentral's name for it is "LSU rRNA". It matches the Rfam family "Eukaryotic large subunit ribosomal RNA", at positions 24 to 500 of the family's 3401-position model. Lineage: Eukaryota; Dinophyceae; Gonyaulacales; Pyrocystaceae. The record is from RNAcentral.